UCGAGAAUUUUUCACAAUGGGCGAAAGCCUGAUGGAGCGACGCCGCGUGGGGGAUGAAUGGCUUCGGCCCGUAAACCCCUGUCAUUUGCGAUCAACCGUUAUUAUUUAAAAGAUGAUAACCUGAUAGUGGCGAAAGAGGAAGGGACGGCUAACUCUGUGCCAGCAGCCGCGGUAAUACAGAGGUCCCAAGCGUUGCUCGGAUUUACUGGGCGUAAAGGGUGCGUAGGUGGCGGUGUAAGUCGGAUGUGAGAUCUCCGAGCUCAACUCGGAAACUGCAUUGGAAACUACAUUGCUCGAGGGUUGGAGGGGGGACUGGAAUACUUGGUGUAGCAGUGAAAUGCGUAGAUAUCAAGUGGAACACCAGUGGCGAAGGCGAGUCCCUGGACAACUCCUGACACUGAGGCACGAAAGCUAGGGGAGCAAACAG
Molecule: ribosomal RNA, 427 nt
Filed under: uncultured bacterium
Lineage: Bacteria
Description: bacterial SSU rRNA
Rfam family: Bacterial small subunit ribosomal RNA
Source: RNAcentral